This 336-nucleotide ribosomal RNA is filed under the name uncultured bacterium. RNAcentral describes it as "bacterial SSU rRNA". It matches the Rfam family "Bacterial small subunit ribosomal RNA", at positions 8 to 334 of the family's 1533-position model. The record is from RNAcentral.
AGGGUUUGAUUAUGGCUCAGGACGAACGCUGGCGGCGUGCCUAAUACAUGCAAGUAGAACGCUGACUACUUUAGCUUGCUAGAGUAGAAGGAGUUGCGAACGGGUGAGUAACGCGUAGGUAACCUGCCUACUAGCGGGGGAUAACUAUUGGAAACGAUAGCUAAUACCGCAUAACAGUGUUUAACACAUGUUAGAUGCUUGAAAGAUGCAAUUGCAUCACUAGUAGAUGGACCUGCGUUGUAUUAGCUAGUUGGUGGGGUAACGGCCCACCAAGGCGACGAUACAUAGCCGACCUGAGAGGGUGAUCGGCCACACUGGGACUGAGACACGGCCCAG